RNAcentral lists this ribosomal RNA (286 nucleotides) under uncultured Bacillariophyceae. RNAcentral's name for it is "partial 18S ribosomal RNA". It matches the Rfam family "Eukaryotic small subunit ribosomal RNA", at positions 598 to 888 of the family's 1831-position model. Lineage: Eukaryota; Bacillariophyta; Bacillariophyceae. The record is from RNAcentral.
CGUAUAUUAAAGUUGUUGCAGUUAAAAAGCUCGUAGUUGGAUUUGUGGCGUAUGGUGUGUUCCGGGCACUUGUUGUCUGAGUAACCUGCUGUUGCCAUCCUUGGGUGGAACCUGUGUGGCAUUAGGUUGUCGUGCAGGGGAUGCCCAUCAUUUACUGUGAAAAAAUUAGAGUGUUCAAAGCAAGCUUAUGCCGUUGAAUAUAUUAGCAUGGAAUAAUGAGAUAGGACUUUUUUACUAUUUUGUUGGUUUGCGUAAAGAGGUAAUGAUUAAUAGGGACAGUUGGGGG